UUUUUGUUAAUAAUUUAAAGUCUAACCUGCCCACUGAGAAUUAUUAAAGGGCCGCGGUAUUUUGACUGUGCAAAGGUAGCAUAAUCAUUUGUCUCUUAAUUAGAGGCUGGAAUGAAUGGUUGAAUGAAAUAUUAACUGUCUCAAUUUUAAAAUAUUAAAAAUUUAGCUUUUAAGUUAAAAGGCUUAAAUAUAUUUAAAGGACGAGAAGACCCUAUAGAUCUUUAUAAUUUAAUUAUUUUAUAAUAUAGAUAAAUAAUUAUUAAAAUAAUAAAAAUUAUUUUAUUGGGGUGAUAGGAAAAUUUAAUUAACUUUUUUUAAAAAUAAACAUUGAUUUAUGAAAAAUUGAUCCAAUAUUAUUGAUUAUAAGAUUAAGUUACCUUAGGGAUAACAGCGUAAUUUUUUUAAAGAGUUCAUAUCGAUAAAAAAGAUUGCGACCUCGAUGUUGAAUUAAAGUAAUUUCUAGAUGUAGCAGUUUAGAUAUUAGGUCUGUUCGACCUUUAAAUC
Molecule: ribosomal RNA, 504 nt
Filed under: Leucochrysa catarinae
Lineage: Eukaryota; Metazoa; Arthropoda; Insecta; Neuroptera; Chrysopidae
Description: partial 16S ribosomal RNA
Rfam family: Bacterial large subunit ribosomal RNA (bases 384-504)
Source: RNAcentral